This 253-nucleotide ribosomal RNA is filed under the name uncultured bacterium. Its description in RNAcentral is "partial 16S ribosomal RNA". It matches the Rfam family "Bacterial small subunit ribosomal RNA", at positions 524 to 776 of the family's 1533-position model. The record is from RNAcentral.
UACGUAGGGUGCAAGCGUUAAUCGGAAUUAUUGGGCGUAAAGGGUGCGCAGGCGGUUAUAUAAGUCAGAUGUGAAAUCCCUGGGCUUAACCUAGGAAUUGCGUUUGAAACUAUAUAACUAGAGUGUGACAGAGGGGAGUGGAAUUCCAUGUGUAGCAGUGAAAUGCGUAGAGAUGUGGAAGAACACCGAUGGCGAAGGCAGCUCCCUGGGUUAACACUGACGCUCAUGCACGAAAGCGUGGGGAGCAAACAGG